Scatophagus argus is the source of this 1196-nucleotide long non-coding RNA. RefSeq lists it as uncharacterized. Lineage: Eukaryota; Metazoa; Chordata; Actinopteri; Scatophagidae. The record is from RefSeq and is a predicted model, not a curated record. The transcript is spliced from 2 exons.
UCUAGUGUUUUCUUACCUUUGGCUGCUGCCUACAUCUGGCCUUGACGCAGUAAAAAGCUAAAAGUAGGGUUAAUCUUACUGCAACUGAUCAACAUCUUUGGUAGAAAGAUGGCAACAGACUAUUUGUCAGAGUUUAAACAUGCUUCUCAUCAUUUCUCUGUCUGGGGAUUAGCAGAACAGAUCAGAUGAUUUAACUCCCAACACUUGCGCUGCGAUAAAAAAUAAAAAGUUAAGGAAAAUAGAAAAGCUGCAGCGGCAAACCGGGAAACAAUGCGGAAAAUUAACAUUGUAAUAAAAGGCACUUCUUUUGACAGCGACAUAAGUUACUCAUCUAGCUAACUCUCAUGUCUGUGGAUAAAAGUUAGCAAGCUAACGUUAGCCGACAAGCACAUUCAGAACAGUGUGUGUAGACAGCCACAGUUGGCUAAAGAGAUUAGCUCGGACACACGCAAUCACUACAAAUCUACGCUAACGGUUUGGGUUGUGAUGCCCAACCUAGCGUCAGUUUCAGCUUUGCACCAGUGUGUCCCUGCCAUCCAGGCCGACUUGAUGAAGGCAGGCUUCCGCCGCUGAGUUUCCCCGGACUCCCUCCAGCUGCUGAGGGCAGGAAGCCGCUAACUGCAGCACAGAAGUAGCUCUGGGUCACCAUGGCUUUCCCAAACAGCCACGUAUCAGGAUCCUGGAGGGGGGAGGAGGAGGACGGGGAAACACAGGCGUGGAGAGUCAACGCAUGGAUUCCGCCCCACAAAAAAGAUCAGGAAUUAACUUUAUUUUUAGAUCCCAAAGGACGUUUUCCACAUCAAGAAGCAGCCUCCAGGAGACAGAUACAAGUAGAUUUUUUGUUAAUGUCGUAUAUGAUUGAAAUAGUUGGGGGAAAAGUGGAGCGAGUCAACUAGAGGAACAAAUCUGACAUGGCUGAAAAUAGUGUCCACAUUGAACAUAUAAAGAAAAAAAUGCAAAAUUGGACAUCACAGAAGAUGUCAUCAGGAUGCAGUUCCAAGAGAACCAGUAUUUUAUUUUUGAGUUAUUACACGCACAUUAAAAGCAAGUUUAUUUCAUAGGAGCUGCGCUCGUAUUUUGUAUUUUGUGAUUAGUAACACUGAUUCACUUUUUUUUUCUCAGAUGGUUCACUAUGUAUGCUGAGUGUCUUGGGCACGAAAUGCCCUGCAAGAUGAAUAAAUAUCUGUAUAAUUUUA